GCAUUGCUGAGGAGUUCCACAAUAGGACGAAACGGCCGUCCAGUGU
RNAcentral lists this non-coding RNA (46 nucleotides) under Schistosoma margrebowiei. Lineage: Eukaryota; Metazoa; Platyhelminthes; Trematoda; Strigeidida; Schistosomatidae. The record is from RNAcentral.